This 253-nucleotide ribosomal RNA is filed under the name uncultured prokaryote. Its description in RNAcentral is "partial 16S ribosomal RNA". It matches the Rfam family "Bacterial small subunit ribosomal RNA", at positions 524 to 776 of the family's 1533-position model. The record is from RNAcentral.
UACGGAGGGUGCAAGCGUUAAUCGGAAUGACUGGGCGUAAAGGGUGCGUAGGUGGUUUAAUAAGUUAUAGGUGAAAUCACUGGGCUUAACCUGGUGUGGAAUUAUGAUACUGUUAGACUCGAGUAUAGGAGAGGGUAGUGGAAUUUCCGGUGUAGCGGUGAAAUGCGUAGAGAUCGGAAGGAACACCAGUUGCGAAGGCGGCUACCUGGCCUGGUACUGACACUGAGGCACGAAAGCGUGGGGAGCAAACAGG